UAGAAAGGGCUGGGUGCCAAGAAAGGCCUGU
This 31-nucleotide non-coding RNA is filed under the name Mus musculus (house mouse). Lineage: Eukaryota; Metazoa; Chordata; Mammalia; Rodentia; Muridae. The record is from RNAcentral.